Molecule: ribosomal RNA, 503 nt
Filed under: uncultured bacterium
Lineage: Bacteria
Description: bacterial SSU rRNA
Rfam family: Bacterial small subunit ribosomal RNA
Source: RNAcentral
AAAGGAAUUGACGGGGGCCCGCACAAGCGGUGGAGCAUGUGGUUUAAUACGACGCAACGCGUAGAACCUUACCAGGACUUGACAUGCAGCUGCACGCCUCGGGAAACCGAGGAAGCCUUCGAGGGUGCUGCACAGGUGUUGCAUGCCUGUCGUCAGCUCGUGCCGUGAGGUGUUUGGUUAAGUCCAUCAACGAGCGCAACCCUCAUUCUUAGUUGCCAGCUUUCUGCGCAAGCAGAGAAGGAACUCUAAGGAGACUGCCCCGGCAACGGGGAGGAAGGAGAGGAUGACGUCAAGUCAUUAUGGCCCUUAUGUCCUGGGCUACACACGUGCUACAAUGGCCGGUACAGAGGGUCGCCAACCCGCGAGGGGGAGCCAAUCCCAGAAAGCCGGCCCCAGUUCGGAUUGGAGUCUGCAAUUCGACUCCAUGAAGUUGGAAUCGCUAGUAAUGGCGCAUCAGCAAUGGCGCCGUGAAUACGUUCCCGGGCCUUGUACACACCGCCCGU